This is a long non-coding RNA of Sander lucioperca (pikeperch), 205 nucleotides long. RefSeq lists it as uncharacterized. The record is from RefSeq and is a predicted model, not a curated record. NCBI's taxonomy places the organism in Eukaryota, Metazoa, Chordata, Actinopteri, Perciformes, Percidae. The transcript has 3 exons.
AGCAGACUGAUCUCAUGGAGUGGCGUAUGCAUGACACGCCAAUUUGUAUGCCAUUAUUGGCGUAUUAUCAAGAUGCAUACUCGCUUAUUAGCGUGUUUAUCAACGCCGUAUGGCCUCCAUUGACUUACAUUACCUUGCGAUAGCGUGUGAAGUGACGCCAUAGCGAGUAGUAUGAAAGGGCGAAAAUCCGCAUUUGUUGCUUUCC